Molecule: microRNA precursor, 205 nt
Filed under: Setaria italica (foxtail millet)
Lineage: Eukaryota; Viridiplantae; Streptophyta; Magnoliopsida; Poales; Poaceae
Description: MIR408 microRNA precursor family
Rfam family: MIR408 microRNA precursor family
Source: Rfam by way of RNAcentral
AGGUGGUUUGGAUUGGAGGCAGGGAUGAGGCAGAGCAUGGGAUGGGGCCAUCAACAGACAAAACUCCGUUUCUUCCACUGCAAAAACAUGUUUGUGAGAGGUUUUGAGGCAAAAAAAAAAAAAAGGUUGAGAGCUCCGCCCCCACCGGUGUUGUUGCUCCCUCCCCUGCACUGCCUCUUCCCUGGCUCCCUGCCGCCGCCGGCCC